RNAcentral lists this transfer RNA (91 nucleotides) under Bdellovibrionales bacterium. RNAcentral describes it as "tRNA-Ser". It matches the Rfam family "tRNA". Rfam says of the family: Transfer RNA (tRNA) molecules are approximately 80 nucleotides in length. Their secondary structure includes four short double-helical elements and three loops (D, anti-codon, and T loops). Lineage: Bacteria; Pseudomonadati; Bdellovibrionota; Bdellovibrionia; Bdellovibrionales. The record is from RNAcentral.
GGAGAGGUGGCAGAGUGGUUGAAUGCGCACGCCUGGAACGCGUGUAGGCGUUAAUAGCGUCUCGAGAGUUCGAAUCUCUCCCUCUCCGCCA